UACGUAGGGUGCGAGCGUUAAUCGGAAUUACUGGGCGUAAAGCGUGCGCAGGCGGUUUUGUAAGCCAGAUGUGAAAUCCCCGGGCUUAACCUGGGAAUGGCAUUUGGGACUGCAAGGCUUGAGUGCGGCAGAGGAGACUGGAAUUCCUGGUGUAGCAGUGAAAUGCGUAGAUAUCGAGAGGAACACCAGUGGCGAAGGCGAGUCUCUGGACGACACCUGACACUGAGGCACGAAAGCUAGGGGAGCAAACAGG
Molecule: ribosomal RNA, 253 nt
Filed under: uncultured bacterium
Lineage: Bacteria
Description: partial 16S ribosomal RNA
Rfam family: Bacterial small subunit ribosomal RNA
Source: RNAcentral